UGGGGAAUAUUGGACAAUGGGCGCAAGCCUGAUCCAGCAAUGCCGCGUGUGUGAAGAAGGUCUUCGGAUUGUAAAGCACUUUCGGCGGGGACGAUGAUGACGGUACCCGCAGAAGAAGCCCCGGCUAACUUCGUGCCAGCAGCCGCGGUAAUACGAAGGGGGCUAGCGUUGCUCGGAAUGACUGGGCGUAAAGGGCGCGUAGGCGGCUUGCACAGUCAGAUGUGAAAUUCCUGGGCUUAACCUGGGGGCUGCAUUUGAUACGUGUGGGCUAGAGUGUGAAAGAGGGUCGUGGAAUUCCCAGUGUAGAGGUGAAAUUCGUAGAUAUUGGGAAGAACACCGGUGGCGAAGGCGGCGACCUGGUUCAUGACUGACGCUGAGGCGCGAAAGCGUGGGGAGCAAACA
RNAcentral lists this ribosomal RNA (402 nucleotides) under uncultured bacterium. RNAcentral describes it as "bacterial SSU rRNA". It matches the Rfam family "Bacterial small subunit ribosomal RNA", at positions 355 to 774 of the family's 1533-position model. The record is from RNAcentral.